This is a small nuclear RNA of Bison bison bison, 104 nucleotides long. Lineage: Eukaryota; Metazoa; Chordata; Mammalia; Artiodactyla; Bovidae. The record is from Ensembl.
GUGCUCACUUCACCAGCACAUAUACUAAAAUUGAAAUGAUCCAGAGAUUAGCAUGGCCCCUGUGCAAAGAUGACACACAAAUUUGUGAAGCACUCCUUAUUUUU